This 256-nucleotide unclassified non-coding RNA is filed under the name Hevea brasiliensis (rubber tree). Lineage: Eukaryota; Viridiplantae; Streptophyta; Magnoliopsida; Malpighiales; Euphorbiaceae. The record is from RNAcentral.
AUUUUUCCACGGGCCGUCUGCUUCAUCUAGGUUUCUAAUUUUGCGCUGCCAUUAGACGGACGGCAACCGUAAAAAGUUGUCUAGUCGUCGCCUUUCGCUGCCCAUCCCAACCCAAACAGGCAAUCUCUUCACUACGCCAACUGCUUUUCAAGGGCAGCAGAACUUGUUACUGCACUUAGUUUGAAUCGGGGNNNNAGCAGAUCUGCUAGUCAUAAAGAGAAGUAUGGAGAAAUUAGUAAUUUCCCUCAAAAUCGCU